Molecule: non-coding RNA, 83 nt
Organism: Xylaria sp. CBS 124048
Lineage: Eukaryota; Fungi; Ascomycota; Sordariomycetes; Xylariales; Xylariaceae
Source: the annotation of a GenBank genome assembly
UCCGAAUUGGUGUAGUGGCUAACAUUUGACGCUCUCAUUCCUGAUGAUCCGUCAAGCCCGGGGUUCGAUUCCCCGAUUCGGAG